AAAAUUUGUUUCUGAUAAAUUGUAUUCAAACAAAAGUACAAUUAGUGCUUUUUAGAGAAUCCAGUUCCGGCGGAAGAUUAAGUAAGGUGCGGUAUAAAGACCAAUCAAUUUCCUACAACAGACAAUAGAGGGCUCUGACGUGACCACGGUCAAUGAGACUAUUGUUCUGAUUCUAUAGAGUCUAACCUUGAAAAGAAAAGACUCGUUGUUUUUAAGCCUGGUCCAGGUGUGGGAGCUAUACUUGAUAUACAAGUCGACUCGUGAACUACGGAGUACUCCAAAUGUUUUACCAAACAGAAGAACAAUGGGCAAACACCAAUCCUGAGAAGUGGUAAAAUCUACAAAACAUUGAAAGGUAUAAAAUGUUUGGUAAGUCAGAAUACAUUAGCAUAAAUAUUGGAGCUCACAGAGUCAUUUGCUGACUCUUGCAUAUACAUAAUUCCUCCUUAUCAUUAACAAAGUAGAAAUAAAUAUGAUAUAUACUAUGAAAACACAAAUAAGUCAAACAAAAAAAAAGAGAUGAACUUUGUAAUGAAUGGACACAGAAAACUGAUCUGUUGCUGUUGCUCAGACAGACGAAACAUGUUGCCUCAGCUGUGUCGAAAAAAAAGAAACAAGAUGAUGUGGGAACAAAGGUUCUUGAAUUAUGUUGGCAAGUCAGAAUAUCAAUAAGCCUCAGAAGUUUUAGCUCAUUGGGGAAAAAACCCUGGCACAUCUAAUAGACUCAUCAUUCUUGCCAUAAAUUGAAUUACCAAAGUGUAUUAGCAGAUCACCUACACACAAAAAAUACACCAGGAAGAAAGAAAGAGUGGAAACAAAUACAUUAUGGAUGCACAAUAUCAAAAGAGAAAGCUCAGAAUAUCAAUAAGCAGUUAGUGUAAACAUUCAACAGGGAGUUCUCCCUUCACACAACAGAUAUUCAUCAUUCCCAUACCUACCUAAAAUUAACUAUAAAUGCCAAAAGAAGCCAAAUUAUAUAUUUAAUAAUAAUUUACAUCAAAAUCUUCUGUUAGUAAUGUUAAUAAUGAACUUUUAUAGUCAUAGUUAGGUCCAACAAAAAUUAAGGGAUCAAUGAACACCAUGUAAAUCAAAAAAUAAAAGAGUGAAUCACAAAUGCAAGUCAGAAUAUCAAUAAGCCUCGAUGAUUGAGCUCAUAGAGGAAUUCACCACUCGCACAUCUAAUUGUUUUUCAUCAUGCUUGCCAUAGCAAAGGCUAAAUAUAGCACAAAUUCCACCUCAACUAGAAAAAAGUAGAAUCAACAACGGAUGUGACACCACAAAAAGUAUGGGCUAUAUCCUGACGUGUAACUUCAGUUAAGGUCUAAAUCAGAUAAAUAUUUCAACUUAACAAUUUGCUACAACUUCAAGUGAAAAAUUAGUACAAAUGCAAUAAUGAAGCAUAUUUGUAGAACACAAAAUUAAAAAGUUCCAUUUAUUUCUAUUGUAAGUACUUUAAGAAGGCAAGUCAGAAUAUCAAUAAGCCUCGAUGAUUGAGCUCAUAGAGGAAUACACCACUCACACAUCUAAUAGUUUAUCAUCAUUCUUGCCAUAGCAAAGUUAUGUUAUGAAUAUAAAUAGAAAUAUACUGCAAACCACAUCUAAAUUAGGGAGAUUCAAAGCAUCUUUUGUUGGAACAAAAAGAUAGCAACUUUCAUUUUCAACAGUGACAAAUUAUUCAAACACACAAAUGCUUAAUUUUCAAAGCUGAAAUUUUGUCUUAGAACAAAUAGAAAGUACUACAUAAGACAAGUCAGAAUAUCAAUAAGCCUCGAUGGUUGAGCUCACAGAGGAAUUCACCACUCGCACAUCUAAUUGUUUUUCAUCUUUCUUGACAUUACACAACAAUAUUAAUAACAGAACUAGAAAGAUAAUGCACAUACCACCACAAAAAAAGCUCCACAGAAACCAAUAAACUUUACAAUCUCAUAUCAUUAAGAUAGAAACAAGGAGCAUAGCCCCAAAACUCCAAAAAUUGGCACAAUGGUCAUAUAAGGUGGCACCUUUCUAAUUUCAAACUAACUUAAAUUCUUAUCCAAGUCCUAAAAACAAAAAUUCAAAGGACUUCUCUUUUUCCUAAAUCGAAAAGAAAGUAGUUCUUAAAGGCAAGUCAGAAUAUCAAUAUGCCUCGAUGUUUAAGCUCAUAGAGGAAUUCACCCCUCGCACAUCUAAUUGUUUCCAAUCAUUCUUGCCAUACAAAAACAAAUAUACUUUAAAAAGAACCUGUUUGCAAUAUAAUCUAUACACUGCAUCAACAAGAGACAUUCCAAGUAUAUGUGUUUCCAUAACACAAAAGAUACACAACACUUCAAAAUUCCAAAACAACUCAACUAGAACAUUCCAAUUUAGCCACAGUGACAAACAUAUGCAACCAAACAAAUGGUAAAAACUAAAUUGAGACAACAAACUUCAAAAGAAUUCCUAUAUUUAAAAUCGAAAGUACUUCAUAAAGGCAAGUCAGAAUAUCAAUAAGCCUCGAUGAUUGAGCUCAUAGAGGAAUUCAACUCUCACACAUCUAAUUUUGUUUUCAUCACUCUUGCCAUAAGAACAAGGAAAUAUAAUAAACAAAAAUCACAAAAUAAUGUACACCCCACCUCAACUAGAGCCAUUCAAAACAUCUUUUGGUUCUAUAUCCCCAAUUGGGAAAGACAAAACCAAAAAAAAAGGAUAUGACUCCUGAAAUAAGGCGAGGCAAAAGGAGACUCACUAAAGGAAAACCCUAAAGAGAAAACUCCAGCAUAUAACACACCUUUCAUAUAUACAAUUGUACAUACAAAAGAGUGUGCAUAUAUACAAUUAAUAUAGCGCAGCUAUGACUCAAAACGCUUCCAUGGAGCAUAAUGGAAGGCGAUCUUAAGGGCGGCGCAAAAUGAAACAAAUUAAUCCAUACACAACACACUUUGUUAUAUAGCUCCAAUCGAUCAAAAUGUUGCAACAUAUUCCAAAAAUCACAUCUUUAAGAGAAAUUAAUGCAUACCCAAUAGCAUUUUGAUCAAUCCACGCAUCAUACACACUUCACAUACAAAAAAAACAAUUUUUAAGAAAAACCACUACACACCCAACUGCAUUUUGGACAACCAAAGCAACAUAAAAGCAAAACCCCUAAAAUUCAUGUAAAAAUUUUCGGUUUAUAACAUAAUUUUGAGUUUACCAGUCACGAUAAUCAACUGCAACAGAGAAACACAGCUGACUAAGUUGAAAAUGGCAAAUAAUUAUAGGGUAUUAUAACUUCCACUGUUAGCAAACUAAAUUGCAUAAGAGGUUUCAGUUAUUAACCCAUUAAAACAUGAAAUCAAAAAGAGGAAAAACACCAUACACGAAGAAAUUCAAUACGAUAAGCAAUGAAGAAGAAACUCACAAAGAUUCGGCUACAUUGGGGAUUGAUCCCCA
RNAcentral lists this long non-coding RNA (3387 nucleotides) under Solanum lycopersicum (tomato). RNAcentral's name for it is "long non-coding RNA (SLYC_LNC000613)". Lineage: Eukaryota; Viridiplantae; Streptophyta; Magnoliopsida; Solanales; Solanaceae. The record is from RNAcentral.